ACUUCUUCCCGCGCUGUUAACUAUCAUGGACUGUCAUUUGGCGGCGUCCAUGAGAACAGCAUGGGAAUUCCGUCAGCGGUUCUGGAUGGACAUUAGGUUACAGCCGAUCUGUGACCAAUGCCGCAAGCGAGCUACCCCAGACCGACAGGACUGUCUUGCUGUAAGUGGACAGAACCCUGGUCAGAGAUAUCUAGGAAGGUGGUCUGAGCUCUAGUUGGGUGAUUUGGCGUCUGGGGUAUCUAAAGGUGGAUAGAUUUAUGACAUUUCAGCUGCAUUAUUCACUCCUUUAACAAAGUUUUUAACCCUGACGAACACCAUUAUUGAGGUACAAGGACCUUUAUGGUGACAUGUGGGGAUCCGAUAUCAUGUACCCCUCCGUGAUAGUCCUGAGGGGAACAUGUAAUCAUACUGAGUCAAGUGCUUCAUAUUGGUUGUUUCCGAGCUGGGGUUAAAUUCUCUUGUGACUGGAUGGUUGGGUGCAGCUGAACUAGAGUAAAUCUAUUUUUUGCAACAGUACCUCUUGCGUCGGAAAGUCUGACUAGGGUAAAGGUCAUCUGGUCCAGAAUAUCUGACUGACGGACUAUCACAGCCUGCCAGCCCCCGGAGGAGGAGGAGGCGCCGUCCACGGCGCAGAGGUCGUCGCCAUCCCGAUCUCUCCCGGAGGAGGCGCCGUCCAAGGCGCAGAGAUCGUCGCCCUCCCGAUCUCUCCCGGAGGAGGCGCCGUCCACGGCGCAGAGAUCGUCGCCCUCCCGAUCUCUCCUGGAGGAGGCGCCGUCCAAGGCGCAGAGAUCGACGCCGUCAUCCCGAUCUCUCUCCAUAUGCCCCCGGUCCAUAAGAGGACACGGGGGACGUGCCUGGAGGUGGCACUGAGACACUGCCAUGUUUCUUGAUGGUUUGACUUUCUUCACACUGAGCCACAGUGUGGAGGCAGUCAAAAGGGCCGUGCUAAGGGCCCAAGGGUGUGACAUAGUGGCAGGUCUGUGUCGCCGUAGAGCGGGGAAAUUCCGUUAGGCAAGUACGAUGUUGGGUUCCAAGACUGGACGCAUCCGAAGCAUUAGUGCCUUUUCCUGAAGGAGAUUGUCCAACGUCUCGGACAGUCACCUGGUCAGGGUUUUCGAAUGCGUGGAGUCUAACUCUAGAUGGAUGACUUAGCAACGGAAAUAUUUGGAACUCAGUUGGUUUUGUCAUUUUUCAACUUCGAACUGUCACUUCUUUGACAAUGCGUUUAAUUCCAAAUACAGACAUGAAUCUGACACGAGUAUGGCUUUACAGCAUCAUGAUUGGAACGUCAGGCCUGUGCGGUCGGGCUUGAUGGACCAAUGGACCGCCAUGUGUGUUGUACUGCUCUGUAAAUCUUGUGCUGGAGGAUUGUUUGUGUCUGGACUUCCAUACAUUGUGAAAGAAUGGACAAAACUAGUUGGGACGUGACUAAAUCUUCUUGAGGCUUCAUCUAUCUUCUUUGCUGGGAAGU
RNAcentral lists this long non-coding RNA (1471 nucleotides) under Mizuhopecten yessoensis (Yesso scallop). RNAcentral's name for it is "uncharacterized LOC110452330". The record is from RNAcentral. Lineage: Eukaryota; Metazoa; Mollusca; Bivalvia; Pectinida; Pectinidae.